RNAcentral lists this transfer RNA (72 nucleotides) under Mycocalicium subtile. Its description in RNAcentral is "tRNA-Arg". It matches the Rfam family "tRNA". From Rfam's summary of the family: Transfer RNA (tRNA) molecules are approximately 80 nucleotides in length. Their secondary structure includes four short double-helical elements and three loops (D, anti-codon, and T loops). Further hydrogen bonds mediate the characteristic L-shaped molecular structure. tRNAs have two regions of fundamental functional importance: the anti-codon, which is responsible for specific mRNA codon recognition, and the 3' end, to which the tRNAs corresponding amino acid is attached (by aminoacyl-tRNA synthetases). tRNAs cope with the degeneracy of the genetic code in two manners: having more than one tRNA (with a specific anti-codon) for a particular amino acid; and 'wobble' base-pairing, i.e. permitting non-standard base-pairing at the 3rd anti-codon position. Lineage: Eukaryota; Fungi; Ascomycota; Eurotiomycetes; Mycocaliciales; Mycocaliciaceae. The record is from RNAcentral.
AUCCCAUUCACUUAAUGGUAAAGUUUUACUCUCCUAAAGUAAAUUAUAUAAGUUCGAAUCUUAUAUGGGAUU